AUUGAACGCUGGCGGCAGGCCUAACACAUGCAAGUCGAGCGAGCGGCGGACGGGUGAGUAAUGUAUGGGGACUGCCCGAUAGAGGGGGAUAACUACUGGAAACGGUGGCUAAUACCGCAUACUAUCGGAUAACCCAUAUGGGAUUAGCUAGUAGGUGGGGGAAAGGCUCACCUAGGCGACUAUCCAUAGCUGGGCUGAGAGGAUGAUAAGCCACUCUGGGAUGGAGACACGGCCCAUACUCCUACGGAGGCAGCAGUGUGGAAGAUUGCACAAUUGGCGCAAGCCGGAUGCAGCCAUGCCGCGUGUAUGAAGAAGGCCUUAGGGUUGUAAAGUACUUUCAGCGGGGAGGCGUUACCCGCAGAAGAAGCACCGGCUAACUCCGUGCCAGCCGCCGCGGUAAUAC
RNAcentral lists this ribosomal RNA (403 nucleotides) under uncultured bacterium. RNAcentral's name for it is "partial 16S ribosomal RNA". It matches the Rfam family "Bacterial small subunit ribosomal RNA", at positions 30 to 526 of the family's 1533-position model. The record is from RNAcentral.